GUAGACAUAGUUUAACCAAAACACUAGGUUGUGAGCCUAUAAACAAGAAUUUAUUCCUCUUUGUCUACC
RNAcentral lists this transfer RNA (69 nucleotides) under Mammut americanum (American mastodon). Its description in RNAcentral is "tRNA-His". It matches the Rfam family "tRNA". Rfam says of the family: Transfer RNA (tRNA) molecules are approximately 80 nucleotides in length. RNAcentral also lists the same sequence under 1 other name. The record is from RNAcentral. Lineage: Eukaryota; Metazoa; Chordata; Mammalia; Proboscidea; Mammutidae.